GAUGAACGCUGGCGGCGUGCCUAAUACAUGCAAGUCGAGCGAACAGACGAGGAGCUUGCUCCUCUGACGUUAGCGGCGGAAGGGUGAGUAACACGUGGAUAACCUACCUAUAAGACUGGGAUAACUUCGGGAAACCGGAGCUAAUACCGGAUAAUAUAUUGAACCGCAUGGUUCAAUAGUGAAAGACGGUUUUGCUGUCACUUAUAGAUGGAUCCGCGCCGCAUUAGCUAGUUGGUAAGGUAACGGCUUACCAAGGCAACGAUGCGUAGCCGACCUGAGAGGGUGCUCGGCCACACUGGAACUGAGACACGGUCCAGACUCCUACGGGAGGCAGCAGUAGGGAAUCUUCCGCAAUGGGCGAAAGCCUGACGGAGCAACGCCGCGUGAGUGAUGAAGGUCUUCGGAUCGUAAAACUCUGUUAUUAGGGAAGAACAAAUGUGUAAGUAACUAUGCACGUCUUGACGGUACCUAAUCAGAAAGCCACGGCUAACUACGUG
This 497-nucleotide ribosomal RNA is filed under the name uncultured bacterium. Its description in RNAcentral is "partial 16S ribosomal RNA". It matches the Rfam family "Bacterial small subunit ribosomal RNA", at positions 28 to 507 of the family's 1533-position model. The record is from RNAcentral.